ACUCGUAGACUCCUACGGGAGGCAGCAGUGGGGAAUAUUGCACAAUGGGGCGGGAAGCCUGAUGCAGCGAACGCCGCGUGCGGGAUGACGGCCUUCGGGUUGUAAACCGCUUCGCCUGUGACGAAGCGUGAGUGACGGUAAUGGGUAAAGAAGCACCGGCUAACUACGUGCCAGCAGCCGCGGUGAUACGUAGGGGUGCGAGCGUUGUCCGGAUUUAUUGGGCGUAAAGGGCUCGUAGGUGGUUGAUCGCGUCGGAAGUGUAAUCUUGGGGCUUAACCCUGAGCGUGCUUUCGAUACGGGUUGACUUGAGGAAGGUAGGGGAGAAUGGAAUUCCUGGUGGAGCGGUGGAAUGCGCAGAUAUCAGGAGGAACACCAGUGGCGAAGGCGGUUCUCUGGGCCUUUCCUGACGCUGAGGAGCGAAAGCGUGGGGGAGCGAACAGGCUUAGAUACCCUGGUAG
RNAcentral lists this ribosomal RNA (458 nucleotides) under uncultured bacterium. RNAcentral's name for it is "bacterial SSU rRNA". It matches the Rfam family "Bacterial small subunit ribosomal RNA", at positions 327 to 793 of the family's 1533-position model. The record is from RNAcentral.